RNAcentral lists this ribosomal RNA (464 nucleotides) under uncultured bacterium. RNAcentral's name for it is "partial 16S ribosomal RNA". It matches the Rfam family "Bacterial small subunit ribosomal RNA", at positions 28 to 507 of the family's 1533-position model. The record is from RNAcentral.
GACGAACGCUGGCGGCGUGCUUAACACAUGCAAGUCGAACGAUGAACCGGUUUCGGCCGGGGAUUAGUGGCGAACGGGUGAGUAACACGUGGGCAAUCUGCCCUGCACUCUGGGAUAAGCCCGGGAAACUGGGUCUAAUACCGGAUACGACACUCCUAGGCAUCUUGGGGUGUGGAAAGUUCCGGCGGUGCAGGAUGAGCCCGCGGCCUAUCAGCUUGUUGGUGGGGUAAUGGCCUACCAAGGCGACGACGGGUAGCCGGCCUGAGAGGGUGACCGGCCACACUGGGACUGAGACACGGCCCAGACUCCUACGGGAGGCAGCAGUGGGGAAUAUUGCACAAUGGGCGAAAGCCUGAUGCAGCGACGCCGCGUGAGGGAUGACGGCCUUCGGGUUGUAAACCUCUUUCAGCAGGGAAGAAGCGAAAGUGACGGUACCUGAAGAAGAAGCACCGGCUAACUACGUG